Molecule: transfer RNA, 114 nt
Filed under: Klebsiella pneumoniae
Lineage: Bacteria; Pseudomonadati; Pseudomonadota; Gammaproteobacteria; Enterobacterales; Enterobacteriaceae
Description: tRNA-Lys
Rfam family: tRNA
About the family: Transfer RNA (tRNA) molecules are approximately 80 nucleotides in length. Their secondary structure includes four short double-helical elements and three loops (D, anti-codon, and T loops). Further hydrogen bonds mediate the characteristic L-shaped molecular structure. tRNAs have two regions of fundamental functional importance: the anti-codon, which is responsible for specific mRNA codon recognition, and the 3' end, to which the tRNAs corresponding amino acid is attached (by aminoacyl-tRNA synthetases). tRNAs cope with the degeneracy of the genetic code in two manners: having more than one tRNA (with a specific anti-codon) for a particular amino acid; and 'wobble' base-pairing, i.e. permitting non-standard base-pairing at the 3rd anti-codon position.
Source: RNAcentral
GGGUGAUUAGCUCAGCUGGGAGAGCACCUCCCUUACAAGGAGGGGGUCGGCGGUUNNUAGAGCAGUUGACUUUUAAUCAAUUGGUCGCAGGUUCGAAUCCUGCACGACCCACCA